GCUGCAGCAAAAUCUGUAGCCGGGCGUAGGAACCCGAUUAACCAAACGACGCACAGCACGCGCCAGCGUGUUUUUU
Molecule: small RNA, 76 nt
Filed under: Klebsiella pneumoniae subsp. pneumoniae
Lineage: Bacteria; Pseudomonadati; Pseudomonadota; Gammaproteobacteria; Enterobacterales; Enterobacteriaceae
Also listed under: 1 other name
Description: isrK
Rfam family: isrK Hfq binding RNA
Source: RNAcentral